This 434-nucleotide ribosomal RNA is filed under the name uncultured Lachnospiraceae bacterium. Its description in RNAcentral is "partial 16S ribosomal RNA". It matches the Rfam family "Bacterial small subunit ribosomal RNA", at positions 341 to 792 of the family's 1533-position model. The record is from RNAcentral. Lineage: Bacteria; Bacillati; Bacillota; Clostridia; Lachnospirales; Lachnospiraceae.
ACGGGAGGCAGCAGUGGGGAAUAUUGCACAAUGGGGGAAACCCUGAUGCAGCGACGCCGCGUGAGUGAAGAAGUUAUUCGUAAUGUAAAGCUCUAUCAGCAGGGAAGAAAAUGACAGUACCUGACUAAGAAGCCCCGGCUAACUACGUGCCAGCAGCCGCGGUAAUACGUAGGGGGCAAGCGUUAUCCGGAUUUACUGGGUGUAAAGGGAGCGUAGGCGGCUAUGCAAGUCAGGUGUGAAAACCCGGGGCUCAACUCCGGGACUGCACUUGAAACUGCGAAGCUCGAGUACGGGAGAGGCAAGUGGAAUUCCUAGUGUAGCGGUGAAAUGCGUAGAUAUUAGGAAGAACACCAGUGGCGAAGGCGACUUGCUGGACCGCAACUGACGCUGAGGCUCGAAAGCGUGGGGAGCAAACAGGAUUAGAUACCCUGGUA